AAGUCGUAACAAGGUUUCCGUAGGUGAACCUGCGGAAGGAUCAUUAACACGUUUCAUAACGUUACUUACCAACCUCGUGAACUGUGACCCUUCUUCUAGGCUGUGAUGGGGAGGUAUCGCGUAGGAUAUGAAGUUCCUGUCCUUCGUGUCAGCGUUCCUCAGGUGCCUUCCCACCAUGGCUUAUGUCUACCAACCCUUUAUUCAAUUUUUAAUCUUCAAUACGUUUUAAGGUACGUGCUAACCUCGGUUAGUAAUGUCAUCUUAUUACAAACUUGUACAACUCUUAGCGACGGAUGUCUUGGUUUCC
RNAcentral lists this unclassified non-coding RNA (307 nucleotides) under fungal sp. RNAcentral describes it as "partial internal transcribed spacer region". The stretch from base 1 to 46 matches the Rfam family "Eukaryotic small subunit ribosomal RNA", at positions 1786 to 1831 of the family's 1831-position model. The record is from RNAcentral. Lineage: Eukaryota; Fungi.